UACGUAGGACCCGAGCGUUGUCCGGAUUUACUGGGUAUAAAGGGUGCGUAGGCGGCCUUGUGCGUCAGAGGUGAAAUAUCCGGGCUUAACCCGGAGGGUGCCUUUGAUACGGCAGGGCUUGAGUGCGAGAGAGGAUGAUGGAAUUCCUGGUGUAGCGGUGAAAUGCGUAGAUAUCAGGAGGAACACCGGUGGCGAAGGCGGUCAUCUGGCUCGUAACUGACGCUGAGGCACGAAAGCGCGGGGAUCAAACAGG
Molecule: ribosomal RNA, 253 nt
Filed under: uncultured bacterium
Lineage: Bacteria
Description: partial 16S ribosomal RNA
Rfam family: Bacterial small subunit ribosomal RNA
Source: RNAcentral